GAUGAACGCUGGCGGCGUGCUUAACACAUGCAAGUCGAACGGAAAGGCUCCUGCUUGCAGGGGUACUCGAGUGGCGAACGGGUGAGUAACACGUGGGUGAUCUGCCCUGCACUUCGGGAUAAGCCUGGGAAACUGGGUCUAAUACCGGAUAGGACGAUGGGUUGGAUGCCAUUGUGGAAAGUUUUUUCGGUGUGGGAUGAGCUCGCGGCCUAUCAGCUUGUUGGUGGGGUAAUGGCUUACCAAGGCGUCGACGGGGAGCCGGCCUGAGAGGGUGUACGGCCACAUUGGGACUGAGAUACGGCCCAGACUCCUACGGGAGGCAGCAGUGGGGAAUAUUGCACAAUGGGCGCGAGCCUGAUGCAGCGACGCCGCGUGGGGGAUGACGGCCUUCGGGUUGUAAACUCCUUUCGCUAGGGACGAAGCGCAAGUGACGGUACCUGGAGAAGAAGCACCGGCUAACUACGUG
RNAcentral lists this ribosomal RNA (466 nucleotides) under uncultured bacterium. Its description in RNAcentral is "partial 16S ribosomal RNA". It matches the Rfam family "Bacterial small subunit ribosomal RNA", at positions 28 to 507 of the family's 1533-position model. The record is from RNAcentral.